GCACUUCCCUUCUCCUACUUGAUACUUCUCUUCUUAUACAUCCAAAGACUGUGUUUGGCCUUUUAGCUAGCCACAGCAAUUCACUUGUAGUGCAUGUGCAACUGGUUAUCUACUAUGACUCUUAAAUCCUUUUCAGAGUCACUGCUUCCCAGGAUACAGUCCCUCGUCUUAUAAAUGGGACCUACGUUCUUUGUUCCUAGAUUACAACAACUAGCGGUCACCAAUGGUCUGUACCCAACUGCCAUGGAAAUUAAUGGGAAUCUAUCUUUUGUGUUCAGUGAGCAUUGAAUCAGGCCUUAUUUGAAUACAAAUUGCUCGCACGCAAUAUUAAGAAAAAGAAGUGUCUUCUUAAGGUCACACAGGCCAGGGCAGAGAAACAAUUAAAACAUAAGAAUGGCCAUACCGGAUCAGAAAAAUGGUCCUUCCAGCCCAGUAUCCUGUCUUCCGACAGUGGCCAAUGCCAGGUGAAAUCCAGAAACCGUGAUUCCAAUUCCUGUGCUCAAGCCACAACACUAUCUGUACUUGACUGACAGUAUCUGCCUGAAAACCCA
This is a long non-coding RNA of Chelonia mydas (Green sea turtle), 551 nucleotides long. RefSeq lists it as uncharacterized. The transcript has 3 exons. Lineage: Eukaryota; Metazoa; Chordata; Testudines; Cheloniidae. The record is from RefSeq and is a predicted model, not a curated record.